GGCUGAUUUGAUAAGUUAGCACGCCUUGCUGCUUAUGCUUACUGGACUUCUAAUCAACCACUAGUCCCUCCCUUCCUGUCACGACAAACAAAUGCAACAAGGGGAGUACAAAAUGGCGUACAAUAUUAAAUGACACGUGACUAGCUAAAGUGCGCCUUAGAAUCGGAGAUCGCGCAUGGACGACAAAAGAAGAAGGUGAACGCACCUGAAACUUCAGUAAUGGGGGUCGUCGGUGAACUCGGUGAGCUGAGCAAGUAGAUGGGGAAGAAACCAAUGGAACAAUGGCCACCCCUGAUUACGGAGGUGACCCCCAAUUCCAAUGGAACAGUAGCUGUGGCGAACACUACUAGAUCUUAGAAGGAUAAAGAAUUAGGCAUGCAAGACCGAUUGGAGGGUAGUUUGGAGAAAUCCCCUGUUCUGGUGAAUGCACAAAGGAAGCUUGACUAUCUGCAGAUUCAGAUAAAAAAAGGUCGAAUCUUUUUGCUACAAAUUGUAUGUUUGCUAAAGGUAUGAACCUUAGCUAUAUGGCAUCAAUUAUGAAGAAUUGAGAAAAUGUCAUUGAACUCAACAAGCAGGAUGUUAAUCGCACAACAGAGGAAUAAAAAUAGGCCCCCAUUUUGUAUGCUGUAGGGAAGUCACCUACUAUAGCUACGAUUGAGCGAUACAUUGCCUUUCAGGUACCCGUUAUAGCCGCAAUAUCAUGAUCAUGCAAUUCACAAUUUUCAGGCAGCAGGUACCAGUUAUAGCCCACAAUAUCAUGGUCAGGCAGUUCGCAGUUUCCAGCCAAAAGGUGAUGAGUUCUCUUUAUUUAGGAUUCUAGUCAAUUUGUAGAUUCAAUAUUUUAUUUCUAUUCAUUUGUAUUGAUUAGGGAUAGCUGGGGGUUCAUGUCCCGUAUACCUAUGGUCAGUAUCGGUAUAGGUUUCAUAGACAGUUGGUCAGAGUUGAUGUAUUCAAUUUUAGUUUUCUUUUGUAUAACCAGAGUUUUAAGUUUUUAAUGAAUACUAUAUUGAAUAAGUUCAACUAAAGAAAUCGCUUUCGCUUAUUAUUUCUAGUUUUAUGUAUUUUAUUCAGUUACUCGUAAAUUAUGCCAAUAUCAUGGGUCAACUUGAGAUCACUUGUAGUUCUAAGCACUGUGUGACUUUCGGGGAAUAAUCUCAAAACGUUAUACAUUAUCACCCAGUUGCAGACCACAAAGAAUUGUACAACUUAGUUAUGCUGAUUACUUGAUGUUGUUUUUUAGGGGUGAUUUAAAAUCUGUGACUUGUUUGCAUUCAUGUUUUGGGAUGUUAUUUCAUGCUUCAAGGUUAGUAGCAAAUACUGGAAAGAGUAUUGUGUUCUUUAGUGGUGUCAACCAAGCUCUACAUGACUAAAUUCUGCAGGAACUUCACUUUGCAGAGGUGGCUUGCCUUUUAAAUACCUUGGGUUACCUCUGAGAACUAAGAGGUUAUCUGUGGUACAAUGCAAACUGCUUGUUGAAAAGAUGCUAAGUAGAAUAACAAGUUGGACAAGAAGUACAAUGCAAACCGCUUGUUGAAAAUAUGCUAAGUAGAAUGACAAGUUGGACAAUAAGAUUUCUGUCUUAAGCUAGAAGGGCUCAACAGAUCAAAAAUGUUUUGUUUGCAAUACAAAUUUUUUGGUCUCAAUUUUUUUGCUUACCUAAAAAGCUUAUACAUGUUAUAGAGGGUAUAUACAGGAGAUUCAUGUGGACAGGGAAUGCUGAAGCUUCCAAGAAAGCCUUGAUUGCUUGGGAAAAAUUAUGUUAUCCUAAAUCUAGUGGAGGAUUGAAUUUCUUGAACAUUUGCACCUGGAACAAAGCAGCUAUAGGUAAAUGGUUAUGGAACUUAUGUAAAAAGAAGGAUAAGCUUUGGGUGGAAUGGAUCCAUAUAUAGUAUGGACUGAAGAAGUAUGGGACAUUCAGGCUAAGCAGACUUCUUGAAUAGUACAAAAAAUCUUAAAAUCAUAUAAAUACUUUCAAGAGACUGGUUAUGAUGAGGAUGCAAUAUUGGCCAUGAAUAAGUACUCUAUAAAGAAGAUUUAUUUGUAGAUGAGAGGUGAUAUAGUCCAAGUAGAAUGGAAGAAGAUGAUAUGGUCUAAUUAUAGUGCACCAAAGUGGCUAUUCAUCUUAUACAUGACAAUGAAUAGAAGACUAGGCACCAAGUCUCGACUGGCAAAGUGGGGCUUAAUGGACAAUGUUACCUGCCCUUUAUGUCAAGAUAAGGAUAAGGACAUAGAGCACAUAUUUUUGAGUGUGCAUUUGCUGUAAGUGUAUGGAAUCAACUGCUGCAUUGGUAAGCAAUUAACGAAACUUGUAUGAAGUGGCACAUUGAGAUACAAUGGACAUUACAGUAUAUGAAGGCACAUGUAGUACUACACAGGUUUAAUGAAAUUAGCUAGUGCUAUUUAUUCAAUAUGGCUGGAACGCAAUGCAAGGGUGUUUCAACUCAAGCAAAGACCAAUCUGUAUCAUUGUAAGACAAGUUAUGCACAAUGUGCAUAGCAGAGGAGUCCAUCAAUCCAAAUUGGAUCAUAAACUACUUGGUCGUAAUAUGUUGCCUUAGAUAGAGUAGUUAGAUAAAGGAUAGCUAUCUUUAUCUUGAGUAAGCUAUGGGGAUGUUUUGUUCAUGACUGCUGAUCUUUCUUGCUUUGUAAUGAUCACUUGGUAAAUAAAAUGUUUACUUGUCAAAA
Long non-coding RNA from Capsicum annuum, 2684 nucleotides. RefSeq lists it as uncharacterized. Lineage: Eukaryota; Viridiplantae; Streptophyta; Magnoliopsida; Solanales; Solanaceae. The transcript is spliced from 4 exons. The record is from RefSeq and is a predicted model, not a curated record.